Molecule: unclassified non-coding RNA, 326 nt
Filed under: soil metagenome
Description: partial contains 5.8S ribosomal RNA, internal transcribed spacer 2, and large subunit ribosomal RNA
Rfam family: 5.8S ribosomal RNA (bases 1-120)
Source: RNAcentral
GAUGAAGAACGCAGUGAAAUGCGAUAAGUAGUGUGAAUUGCAGAAUUCCGUGAAUCAUCGAAUCUUUGAACGCACAUUGCGCCCCUUGGUAUUCCGAGGGGCAUGCCUGUUCGAGCGUCAUAUUAACCACUCCCGCUUGCGGGGUCUUGGGCUUCGCCUCCGGGCGGGCCUUAAAAUCAGUGGCGGUGCCGUCGGGCUCUACGCGUAGUAAAUUUUCUCGCGAUAGGGUCCCGGUGGAUGCUUGCCAACAACCCCCAACUUCUUAAGGUUGACCUCGGAUCAGGUAGGGAUACCCGCUGAACUUAAGCAUAUCAAUAAGCGGAGGA